Long non-coding RNA from Spodoptera frugiperda (fall armyworm), 5045 nucleotides. RefSeq lists it as uncharacterized. NCBI's taxonomy places the organism in Eukaryota, Metazoa, Arthropoda, Insecta, Lepidoptera, Noctuidae. The record is from RefSeq and is a predicted model, not a curated record. The transcript has 3 exons.
AUGAUGUACUUAACGUCUAUGCCAAUUUUCAGCUUCAUUAAGCGAUUUGGGAAUUAUCUGAAGGUUGCGAUUUAAUUUCGUCUAUUUUUGGUUGUAACUUUUUUGUCCCAUGGAUUAAAAAAAAAUAACCAUACCUAAUGUUAAAUAAAUUUAUACUCUUUCAUUUGAUAUUAUUUUCAUUCGUGUCCGCGACCGGGUCGGAUUCCGCCCAAUGACCUUUAAUUUUAAAACGUUCAUUUGCUUUGAGAAUGUAUCUGUGCGAGAAAAGGCAUUUCAGUCUCAUUAAUGCAAUAUAUUGUUCUUAUAUUGAAACACUAGAAAGUAAGUAUUAAUGUAAUCUAUCUUUAAUCUUACGUUAUAAUUAUAAUAUGUAAAGUACACAUCUGUCUACCUGACCACAGAUAACGAUUCGGGUGAAAUUAGUUAAUAUGACAGUUAACUUAAAACCCCAAAAAACGAUACAGGGAAUCAUAGAAAUUCCAUGGGAUUAGUGAAUGAAUGCAAGCACUUCACUAUAAGUAAUGAUUCAACAAUAGGUUAUGUGCUAUCAGCUGAUGAUGGUAAGCAUUCGACGCCACCCAUACCCAUGGACACCAGAAACACCAGAGAAGAUAAAAUUGCGUGACAAGCCUUUUUGGGUAAAGAUUCGAGGAUUGGGGAUUACGCAGGGAGAGACUUGGGCCUCCGGUAAACUAAUUCACUCGGCGAAACACAACACAGGCGUUAUUUAGUCUCGUCAGAUUAUUUUUUUUAUUUUAUUUAUUUGAUUAUUUUAUUUUUUUAUUUAUUUAUGUUAGGCCAAAGCAUCACUCCGGUUGAGCCAGCACUUAUACGGCGUUCAGUCGGUUGUUCAAUACUGUUCACAGCUGUAAAAAUACCUUUUCUGAUUGCAAAUCUUUUUUCGUUUGGAACAAAAAAUAUGAUAGUGUUUUAAGUGUCUUCUGAAACAUUUGCUCAUAAAGAGUUAACUGGUUAUGCCAAUUAAGGAAUCGAUUUGGAGAUUACGAAGGGAGAGAAUUGGGCCUGGACAAUACAAGCCUUGUUUCACGUCAGUUUUCUGUUGGGCCAAAGUAUUAGUCUGGUGCGCACUUUGGUCGGCUCAGUCAGGUGUUCAAUACUGUCAAGUAUAAGAAUACCUCAUCUGAUUACUAAUCUAAUACAUAUAUUGUUAUUUUUUAAUACCAGGACGUAAGUACCUAUAUUUAUUAAAGAUAUUACGUUGUCUCUUGAUAUAAUGCUAUCAGCUAACGGUAAGCAAUCGGCGCCAUCCAUAUCCAUGGACACCAAAAACACCAGAGGAAUUAUACAAAUGCGUUACCAUCCUUUUUAACGACUUCAAAAAAAAAGGAGGAAACUACAUUCGCUAUUAAUUUUUUAUUUAUUCACCGAUUGUAGACCGAUUUUCUAACUGUUUUUUAUACAAGGGUUUAUACUCCCAAGAGGAUCCCAUUUUCAGUAUGUCAGAAUCUGAUGAUGGAAUCCUAGGGAAACCGAGAAGAACUUUCGAAAAUUGUAGGAGCGAGUAAUGCGUCUAUUAUGUUUUUCAAUAAAGAUUUAUAAACACUACAAUUUAUUAUGGGUCUGGAGUCGACUUGAGGAUAGAGUUUAGAGGCAGACGAGAGGACUCUUAAACGGUGUACAGUAACUUCAUUGUGUUUGGACUUGAUUAUUUUGUGUUGAUAAGAACUUUACACCUAGAUGAAGUGAGAUUGGCGUUGAGUCUGAUGACGAAGAUGUGUAAUUGUUAAGGGAACUCCUCAACAGUGUACAGUAACUACCUUGUGUUCGGGCUGGAUUACUUUGUAUUGAUUAGAAUGUUGCACCUAUGUGAAUUAUAAGUAGCAACAGAGGUGUUCGUAGUAAUAUACUAAAGAUAAAAAAGAACUUCAAAAACCUAGUUUUCCAAAGCAGUUAUUUUUUUGGGGUCGAAGUUUAAGAAUUUGAAGAUUACGAAGGGGCAAAAAUGUACGUCUGGUAACCUAAUUCAUACGGUGAAACACAGCACAAGCGUUGUUUCACAUCAGUUUUCUGUUAGGCCAAAUCAUCCCUCCAGUUGGGCCCGCGCUUAGGUCGGUUUAGUCGGUUGUACAAUACUAUUCACAAUUUUAAGAAUAACUCAUCUGAUUGCUAAUCUAAUACAUAUAUUGUUAUUUUUUAAUAUCAGGGCGUAAGUACCUAUAUUCAUACAAAAUAUUACAUUGUAAUCGUUACGUACUUACACAUCUGUCUACCUGACCCCUGUAACGAUUCGGGUAAAAUUUGGUAAUUUGAUCGGUAACUUAAGACCCCAAAAAAAGGAUACAAGAAUACCUCAUCUGAUUACUAAUUUAAUACAAUUGUUGUAAUCUUUUCAUAACAGGAAGUAAGUACCUAUAUUCAUACAAAAUAUUACGUUGUAUUGCAUUUAUCAACCUUUUGAAGAGAUUUGAGGAUUGGGGAUUAGGAGAUUAAGGAGGGGGUGAAUUGGGUCUCCGAUAACCUAAUUCACACAGCAAAACUUAACACAAACGAUGUUUCACGUCAGUUUUCUGUUAAGCCAUAGUAUCCCUCCGGUCGCUUCUUGAAUAUUGUUCACAACUGUAAGAAUUAGUAAUCUAAUACAUGUAUUGUUAUUUUUUAAUAUCAGGAAGUAAGUAUCUAUAUUCAUACAAGAUCUUACGUUGUAAUCGUUACGUACUUACAUAUCUCUAACUACUGUAUUUUUUAAAUAUCAGUCUGUAAAAAAGGAAUGGAUGACGCGUCCCGUCCAAGUUACAUUUUAAACAGUAAUUUUAUUCAAUUUGAGCAUGAUAGUGUCUAUGUGAUAAAAGGCAUAUCAGUCUCAUUAAUAUGUUGUUUGUUCAUAAUUAUAACAAUAUUUUAUCUGAUUACUAAUGCAAUAUAAUAUUGUUCUUAUUUGAAACAUUAGAAACCCGUAAGUAUAUUUAUAAAUACAAAAUCUUACGAUGUAAUCGUUGCGUACCUAUAGACAUUUGUCUAAUCUGCUACCUCUGUCGCUCUUUUUUAAUAUCAGAUCGUAAAAGACAGACUUCUUCUUCUUCCAAAUCUUCUGUCUUAAUAGUGCUGGCAUCUUAUUUUCUUUGACUCUGAGCAUCCCAGACGAUCCCAGUUAAUUUUAUUACCCAUAUUAUGGUCCCCCCACUGCAGGGCAAAAGUGACUCUGGGAUUUCGGGGUCAAUCCUUCCCAUAGGCGUCAAGUUCAUCUCACUGUUGCCUUCCGGGCCUACCGCAGGCCGCGACAUCGGUUGACAUGGAUUCGAUGGAAAAAUAAAUCUUAGUCAGGGCUUAAAAUAAGCACCAGCAAUUUUAAACCGUUUAUUCGCUUUAAGCAUGUGUCUAUGUGAAAAAAGCAUUUCGUCUUAUUAUGUUGGUUGUUCAUAAAUGUAACAAUACUUUUUCUGAUUACUCAUGCAAUAUUUUGUUUUCAUUUCAAAACAUUAGGACGAAGUAAGUACCUAUAUUCAUACAAGAUCUUACUUUGUAAUCAUUACGUACCUACACAUCUGUCUAAUCUAAUACCGCUAUUGUUCUUUUUUAAUAAAAGACUUGAUGACACGUCCCGUACCAGCCACGCGCACGAUGACAACAGCCACGGCGGCGUUAUUUUCUUCUAAUCUUCGAAUCUUUUGUCUUACUAGUGCUGGUAUCUUAUUUUCUUUGACUCUGAGCAUUACAGACGAUCCCUGUUAUUUCUAUCAUUCAUAUUAUUGUCCUCCUAUUGCAGGGCAAAAGCAUCUCUACUCUCUUUCUACUCGUCUCUUCUUAUAGGUUUCAGAGCCAAUCUUUUUUAUAUGCGUCAAGUUCAUCUCGUCAUUGCCAUCCGGGCCAACCGCGGUGCAAGACAUCGAUUGACAUUGAAUUGGUGGAAAAAUAAAUUAAGUCUAAAAAUAGGCACUUACAAUAAACAUAUACUUUAAUUUUAAAUAGUUAAUUCGUUUUGAGCAUGUGGAUAUGUGAGAAAACGCAUUUCAGUCUCAUUACGUUCCUAUACCUAUACUUCUUCUGAUUACUAAUGCAAUAUAUUGUUAUUAUUUGAAAAAUUAGAACGUAAGUACCUAUGCUCUUGUAUUUAAUCUUAUGUUAUAAUCAUUUAAUAAACAUCUGUUUCCCUGACUACUAUAACGAUUCGGGUAAAAGUUGGUAAUAUGAUCGGUACGAACAACAUGACACUAAAAACCCUAAAUUCGCUAAAUACCAAAGGACACCAGAAACACCAGAAGAGUUUAAAUUGCGUCACCAGACUUUUUGGGGUAAAAAAUUGAGGAUUGGGGAUUUGAAGGUAGCGGGGGUAGAAUCGGGCCUCCGAUAACCUAAUUCACACGGGGAAUCACAACACAAGCAUUGUUACACGUCAAUUUUCUGUUAGGCCAUAGUAUCACUCCGGUUGAGCCGGGACUUAUGUCAGUUGUUCAAUACUGUUCACAACUGUAAGAAUACUUCAUCCUAUUGCAAAUCUAAUACAUAUAUUGUCCUUUUUUGAUAUCAGGCCGUAAGUACCUAUUUUCAUACAAAAUCAUUCGUAGUAACCGUUACGUACAUACAUAUCGGUCUAAUCUAAUACCUCUAUUAUUAUUUUUUAAUAUCGAGCCUAUAAAAAAAGGAAUGAAUGAGGCGUCCUGUACCAGCCACGUAAACACUGACAUCGCGCGUAUCAGCGUUAUUUUGGAAUUCCAAAGAGACCAGUUAUUUCUACAAUCCAUUUCAUGGUUCUCCCACUGCAAAGCAAAAGCAUUCCUACUCUCUUUCUACUCAUCACUUCCUACAGCUUUCGGGGCCAAUCCUUCUCAUAGACGUCAAAUUCAUCUCACCAUCGCCUUUUGAGCCUGCUGCGGGCCGCGACAUCGGUAGAUGUUGAGAGGGUGGAAAAAUAAAUGAGUUUAUAAGUUUAAUUCGCUUUGAGCGAUGUCUAUGUGAGAAAAGGCACUUCAGUUUCAUUAUGUUGUUUGUUCAUAAAUGUAACAAUACGUUACUUCAUCUGAUUACUAAUGCAAUAUAUUGUUCUUAUUUGAAACAUUAGAAAGUAAGUAUCUUUGCCCUUAAUCUUA